RNAcentral lists this ribosomal RNA (174 nucleotides) under uncultured bacterium. RNAcentral describes it as "partial 16S ribosomal RNA". It matches the Rfam family "Bacterial small subunit ribosomal RNA", at positions 118 to 291 of the family's 1533-position model. The record is from RNAcentral.
UGAGGAACAUGACCUUCGGCGGGGAUAGCCGGCCCAACGGCCGGGUAAUACCGCGUACGACCACUUGGGGACAUCCUCGAAUGGUGAAAGCAGCAAUGCGCCGAUGAAGUGCCUCGCGGCCUAUCAGCUAGUUGGUGGGGUAACGGCUCACCAAGGCGACGACGGGUAGCUGGU